UAUCUGAGCUUACAGCUUCUGAGUCC
RNAcentral lists this non-coding RNA (26 nucleotides) under Rattus norvegicus (Norway rat). The record is from RNAcentral. Lineage: Eukaryota; Metazoa; Chordata; Mammalia; Rodentia; Muridae.